ACUCCUACGGGAGGCAGCAGUGGGGAAUAUUGCACAAUGGGCGCAAGCCUGAUGCAGCCAUGCCGCGUGUAUGAAGAAGGCCUUCGGGUUGUAAAGUACUUUCAGCAGUGAGGAAGGUGGGUAUGUUAACUAGCAUACUCAUUUGACGUUAGCUUGCAGAAGAAGCACCGGCUAACUCCGUGCCAGCAGCCGCGGUAAUACGGAGGGUGCGAGCGUUAAUCGGAAUUACUGGGCGUAAAGCGCAUGCAGGUGGUUUGUUAAGUCAGAUGUGAAAGCCCGGGGGCUCAACCUCGGAAUUGCAUUUGAAACUGGCAAACUAGAGUACUGUAGAGGGGGGUAGAAUUUCAGGUGUAGCGGUGAAAUGCGUAGAGAUCUGAAGGAAUACCGGUGGCGAAGGCGGCCCCCUGGACAGAUACCUGACACUCAGAUGCGAAAGCGUGGGGAGCAAACAGGGAUUAGAUACCCUGGUAGGCAUAGUAAGUCGUAGGGAGACAGGCACACGGA
RNAcentral lists this ribosomal RNA (504 nucleotides) under uncultured bacterium. RNAcentral's name for it is "bacterial SSU rRNA". It matches the Rfam family "Bacterial small subunit ribosomal RNA", at positions 335 to 828 of the family's 1533-position model. The record is from RNAcentral.